UACGUAGGAGGCGAGCGUUGUCCGGAUUUAUUGGGCGUAAAGAGCGCGUAGGCGGCUAGUUAAGUCUGGUGUGAAAUCUCCCGGCCCAACUGGGAGGGGACACCGGAUACUGGUUGGCUUGAGUGCGGCAGAGGGAUGUAGAAUUCCCGGUGUAGUGGUGAAAUGCGUAGAUAUCGGGAGGAAUACCAGUGGCGAAGGCGGCAUCCUGGGCCGUAACUGACGCUGAGGCGCGAAAGCGUGGGGAGCGAAC
RNAcentral lists this ribosomal RNA (250 nucleotides) under uncultured bacterium. RNAcentral's name for it is "partial 16S ribosomal RNA". It matches the Rfam family "Bacterial small subunit ribosomal RNA", at positions 524 to 773 of the family's 1533-position model. The record is from RNAcentral.